RNAcentral lists this ribosomal RNA (446 nucleotides) under uncultured bacterium. Its description in RNAcentral is "bacterial SSU rRNA". It matches the Rfam family "Bacterial small subunit ribosomal RNA", at positions 329 to 792 of the family's 1533-position model. The record is from RNAcentral.
UACCAGACUCCUACGGGAGGCAGCAGUGGGGGAUAUUGCACAAUGGGGGGAACCCUGAUGCAGCGACGCCGCGUGGGUGAAGGAGUGCUUCGGCAUGUAAAGCCCUAUCGGCAGGGAAGAAGCAAGACGGUACCUGACUAAGAAGCCCCGGCUAACUACGUGCCAGCAGCCGCGGUAAUACGUAGGGGGCGAGCGUUAUCCGGUUUCACUGGGUGUAAAGGGAGCGUAGGCGGAAUGCCAAGUCAGCGGUAAAAUCGCGGGGCUCAACCUCGCUCCGCCGUUGAAACUGGCGUUCUUGAGUGGGCGAGAAGUAUGCGGAAUGCGUGGUGUAGCGGUGAAAUGCAUAGAUAUCACGCAGAACUCCGAUUGCGAAGGCAGCGCACCGGCGCCCUACUGACGCUCAGGCACGAAAGCGUGGGUAUCGAACAGGAUUAGAUACCCCCGUA